GGUUAAGCGACUAAGCGUACACGGUGGAUGCCCUGGCAGUCAGAGGCGAUGAAGGGCGUGCUAAUCUGCGAUAAGCGCCGGUAAGGUGAUAUGAACCGUUAUAACCGGCGAUACCCGAAUGGGGAAACCCAGUGUGACUCGUCACACUAUCAUUAACUGAAUCCAUAGGUUAAUGAGGCGAACCGGGGGAACUGAAACAUCUAAGUACCCCGAGGAAAAGAAAUCAACCGAGAUUCCCCCAGUAGCGGCGAGCGAACGGGGAGGAGCCCAGAGCCUGAAUCAGCAUGUGUGUUAGUGGAAGCGUCUGGAAAGGCGCGCGAUACAGGGUGACAGCCCCGUACACAAAAGCGCACAUGCUGUGAGCUCGAUGAGUAGGGCGGGACACGUGGUAUCCUGUCUGAAUAUGGGGGGACCAUCCUCCAAGGCUAAAUACUCCUGACUGACCGAUAGUGAACCAGUACCGUGAGGGAAAGGCGAAAAGAACCCCGGCGAGGGGAGUGAAAAAGAACCUGAAACCGUGUACGUACAAGCAGUGGGAGCACCCUUUGGGGUGUGACUGCGUACCUUUUGUAUAAUGGGUCAGCGACUUAUAUUCUGUAGCAAGGUUAACCGWAUAGGGGAGCCGSAGGGAAACCGAGUCUUAACCGGGCGUUAAGUUGCAGGGUAUAGACCCGAAACCCGGUGAUCUAGCCAUGGGCAGGUUGAAGGUUGGGUAACACUAACUGGAGGACCGAACCGACUAAUGUUGAAAAAUUAGCGGAUGACCUGUGGCUGGGGGUGAAAGGCCAAUCAAACCGGGAGAUAGCUGGUUCUCCCCGAAAGCUAUUUAGGUAGCGCCUCGUGAAUUCAUCUCCGGGGGUAGAGCACUGUUUCGGCUAGGGGGCCAUCCCGGCUU
Molecule: ribosomal RNA, 895 nt
Filed under: Salmonella enterica
Lineage: Bacteria; Pseudomonadati; Pseudomonadota; Gammaproteobacteria; Enterobacterales; Enterobacteriaceae
Description: partial 23S ribosomal RNA
Source: RNAcentral